Long non-coding RNA from Cyanistes caeruleus (blue tit), 437 nucleotides. RefSeq lists it as uncharacterized. The record is from RefSeq and is a predicted model, not a curated record. NCBI's taxonomy places the organism in Eukaryota, Metazoa, Chordata, Aves, Passeriformes, Paridae.
UCCUUGUUGAUAGAAGUUUCUGGUUAUGGAUGCUUUGGUGUACUCACUAGGCAGACUCACCUGCUCCUUCUUGUCAUGCUUCUUUUCCUGGUGGUCAUCAGCCUUUCCUCCUACCCAGAUAUCUUCAUCUACUUUUAUUCCCCAUCCAGAAGAGUAAUGGCAGGAUUAUAAUGACUCCCCAAAUGCAGAGACUGCAAUUUUGAGUGCCUCUUACAUGGGCUUCAUAAGGAAUAAAGACACUGCAUCUUUUGUACUUUCAACAAAAAUUGUCAGUGAGCAACAAUCUACUGAUAAACCUGUGAACAGAAAUCAUGCUGAAUAAGAAUGAGAAAUGGAGAAAUAAGAUAUCUGUCCUUUGGACAAUAAAUCUGGGUAUUAAAGGGAUGACGCUUUGUUGCAUUGAGGAGUUGGCAAUAGAUUUCUCUCUUUGAUUUCAU